CAUGUCUAAGUAUAAGCACUUUAUACUGUGAAACUGCGAAUGGCUCAUUAAAUCAGUUAUCGUUUAUUUGAUAGUACCUUACUACAUGGAUACCUGUGGUAAUUCUAGAGCUAAUACAUGCUGAAAACCCCAACUUCGGAAGGGGUGUAUUUAUUAGAUAAAAAACCAAUGCCCUUCGGGGCUCCUUGGUGAAUCAUAAUAACUUAACGAAUCGCAUGGCCUUGCGCCGGCGAUGGUUCAUUCAAAUUUCUGCCCUAUCAACUUUCGAUGGUAGGAUAGUGGCCUACCAUGGUGGCAACGGGUAACGGGGAAUUAGGGUUCGAUUCCGGAGAGGGAGCCUGAGAAACGGCUACCACAUCCAAGGAAGGCAGCAGGCGCGCAAAUUACCCAAUCCCGACACGGGGAGGUAGUGACAAUAAAUACUGAUACGGGGCUCUUUUGGGUCUCGUAAUUGGAAUGAGUACAAUCUAAAUCCCUUAACGAGGAACAAUUGGAGGGCAAGUCUGGUGCCAGCAGCCGCGGUAAUUCCAGCUCCAAUAGCGUAUAUUAAAGUUGUUGCAGUUAAAAAGCUCGUAGUUGAACCUUGGGUCUGGCUGACCGGUCCGCCUCACCGCGAGUACUGGUCCGGCUGGACCUUUCCUUCUGGGGAACCCCAUGGCCUUCACUGGCCGUGGGUGGGAACCAGGACUUUUACUGUGAAAAAAUUAGAGUGUUCAAAGCAGGCCUUUGCUCGAAUACAUUAGCAUGGAAUAAUAGAAUAGGACGUGCGGUUCUAUUUUGUUGGUUUCUAGGACCGCCGUAAUGAUUAAUAGGGAUAGUCGGGGGCGUCAGUAUUCCAGCUGUCAGAGGUGAAAUUCUUGGAUUUGCUGAAGACUAACUACUGCGAAAAGCAUUCGCCCAAGGAUGUUUUCAUUAAUCAGGGAACGAAAGUUAGGGGAUCGAAGACGAUCAGAUACCGUCGUAGUCUUAACCAUAAACUAUGCCGACUAGGGAUCGGGCGGUGUUUCUAUUAUGACCCGCUCGGCACCUUACGAGAAAUCAAAGUUUUUGGGUUCUGGGG
This 1060-nucleotide ribosomal RNA is filed under the name Aspergillus ochraceus. RNAcentral describes it as "SSU rRNA". It matches the Rfam family "Eukaryotic small subunit ribosomal RNA", at positions 54 to 1119 of the family's 1831-position model. Lineage: Eukaryota; Fungi; Ascomycota; Eurotiomycetes; Eurotiales; Aspergillaceae. The record is from RNAcentral.